This is a long non-coding RNA of Megalobrama amblycephala (Wuchang bream), 1491 nucleotides long. RefSeq lists it as uncharacterized. The transcript has 3 exons. Lineage: Eukaryota; Metazoa; Chordata; Actinopteri; Cypriniformes; Xenocyprididae. The record is from RefSeq and is a predicted model, not a curated record.
UGAGAGAAGAACCUUCUAGAUUUUUAUAAUACUAAUGUGUCACAGAGUUAGCAAAAUGUAAUGUAAAUUAACAAAUCAAGAAUGAAGAUUGGAGUUCAUACAGACCAAACAUGAUACCCAUGUGAUUUUAGUUAACCAUAGUAUGCAACUCUGAGACAUUAAUACAAGAGUUCAAAAGAGAGAAUUAAUACAAGACGUUAUUAAUGCAUAUGUAACAGGAUUAGGUGAUUGACAGCAGUGCCUAUCAGUGAAUAGUACCUCCUAUUUAAAGGCCGAUUGGCUGUUACCUGGGAUGCGUCACGUCCGUUUUCCCCCUUUGUUUUGGCUGUGUUGACGGUGGCUGUGGGUAAGUGUGCUGUGUUUUAAUAUGGUGACUUAGACAUUGUUGGCGUGCAUAAUCUGAUAACUGUUUAUUUAAUUAGAGUGCAGUUUCUAUAUUCUGGUGUUGCUGCCCUUUUGGUGCUGCUUAGUGGGUUUGAUGACUGUUUGCCUCUCAGUAUACAUGACUUCCUGUACCCCAUGGUGGUAGCGGUGGGUAUGACUGUGACAAGCCCGUGCCUAUGAAGCAUUUUAUUCGGCGUGAUAUCCUGAUGGAUUCUCCCUCUCGUUCUAUGUUGUGAUUGUUUGCUGCCUUGAUCGUUUAUGCCGUGAUUGUUUGCUGCCGUGAGCACUUGCUGCUGUCUUCGCGCUGUUAACAGAGCGGCGGUCCAUACAGCCGCGUCGACGAAGUCAUCAACGUUUAUUAAAGGGGACUGCUGGUUUGAUUCUGUUACGUGCCUUUCUAGUGCCCUGCUUCACGUUUUGGUUUAUUUUAUUAUUAGUUAUCAUGGUUAAAUCAUUUAACCUUUUUCUUUUUCUUUAAGUUUGUGGACAUUUGUUUGAUUGUAUUGCUUUGAUCUUUCUUUUUUUUUUUUUUUUGUGAAACUACAAUCUGUCGAUAUGUGCAUGUUUAAUCUAUGAAUGCAAUUCAAAUCGUGUGGUGAUCUACUGUAUAGAAGUUGGUGUUUGUAACAAUUUCAGGUGAUUAACUAUCUGAUUUUCUGGUUACAUUGUUGCUUCUCCUCACUUCUGUUUGUUGAUACCACUUAUGUGAGGAGUUGCUGCAUUGCUGUUCAUAUUGCCAUCUCUGCCCAGUUUAUUUUCAUAGUUAUUUAUUUUCUUUUUGAUUUAUUGCAGGAGCUGGGGUCCCACGGGUGGUUUGAUCUUCCUCCUUGUGGAGGUGGUUCUCCUUCAUCGUGUGCGGUGUACACCUUGAGUGUUUGAUAGUGUGAUUAGAGUGCACGGGUGUGUGUGCGCGUGGAAGUGUGCUCUUGUGAAACCAAACUCUACAUUGAUCCCAGCCGUUGGGAGCCUCAGCCCCUGCUGGUAUUACUCCGUCUUUGUUUUACAUAUAUACACACACAAAUACAUACUACUUCAAGUUGGUUUUGUUUGAUAUCUUUCUCUUUUUGUAAUUUGUGUUCUUGUGUUUGAAGUGGGGUUUCAUGUAUU